AUGAGAUCAGGCAUGGUUACUCGCUGGCUUGACAACGGUGACCGGGCAGGCGGCGUUGUUCACGACGUAAUCGCUGACGCUGCCCAAGAGCACCCUGCAGUUCAGAGAUGCAAAAGAUUAGCACUCUACUAUGACGAAACAAACAAUGUGCCUGAAGAGCAGUUUGGAGGUCGUUUGGUCGGUGGUCGCAACCUCUUGAGCUUGCCAAGGCCCCUGCUCCCAAUGACCAGGGAGCUGAUGGGCAUGUCAUGGAUGGCUUGGCACAGCUUCUCGCGGGGAUCUCCAAACAGGACUUUGGAAACCACGGCAACCUGCCGAAAAAUGAAAAUGCGGGAUCUUGUUACAGCAAAUGUGUCAAGGAGACCACGGUGGUGGUACAUUAUGGUGUGGAGUGGUCACCUCCUUCUGCUUCGCUAUAGUGUUGAGCAUGUCCAGCGUUUCAGCAUCAGGCUUCACACCAUACUUCUUUGCAAUUGA
Molecule: ribosomal RNA, 477 nt
Filed under: Triticum aestivum (bread wheat)
Lineage: Eukaryota; Viridiplantae; Streptophyta; Magnoliopsida; Poales; Poaceae
Description: partial small subunit ribosomal RNA
Source: RNAcentral